AGUGCAUGUGGUGGAUGCCUUGGCGAUCACAGGCGAUGAAGGACGCGGUAGCCUGCGAAAAGCUACGGGGAGCUGGCAAACGAGCUUUGAUCCGUAGAUGUCCGAAUGGGGAAACCCACUCCUUUUGGAGUAUCCAUGACUGAAUACAUAGGUCAUGUGAAGCGAACGCGGUGAACUGAAACAUCUAAGUAACCGCAGGAAAAGAAAUCAACCGAGAUUCCCAAAGUAGUGGCGAGCGAAAUGGGAAGAGCCUGUACUCUUUAUUUGUAUUGUUAGCCGAACGCUCUGGAAAGUGCGGCCAUAGCAGGUGAUAGCCCUGUAGGCGAAAACAGUAUGAAAGAACUAGGUGUACGACAAGUAGGGCGGGACACGUGAAAUCCUGUCUGAAGAUGGGGGGACCAUCCUCCAAGGCUAAAUACUCGUGAUCGACCGAUAGUGAACCAGUACCGUGAGGGAAAGGUGAAAAGAACCCCGGGAGGGGAGUGAAAUAGAUCCUGAAACCGCAUGCAUACAAACAGUCGGAGCCUCGUAAGGGGUGACGGCGUACCUUUUGUAUAAUGGGUCAGCGACUUACGUUCAGUAGCAAGCUUAACCGAAUAGGGCAGGCGUAGCGAAAGCGAGUCCGAAUAGGGCGUUCAGUUGCUGGGCGUAGACCCGAAACCAAGUGAUCUAUCCAUGGCCAGGAUGAAGGUGCGGUAACACGUACUGGAGGUCCGAACCCACUAACGUUGAAAAGUUAGGGGAUGAGCUGUGGAUAGGGGUGAAAGGCUAAACAAACUUGGAAAUAGCUGGUUCUCUCCGAAAACUAUUUAGGUAGUGCCUCGUGUCUCACCUUCGGGGGUAGAGCACUGUCAUGGUUGGGGGGUCUAUUGCAGAUUACCCCGCCAUAGCAAACUCCGAAUACCGAAGAGUGCAAUCACGGGAGACAGACAUCGGGUGCUAACGUCCGGUGUCAAGAGGGAAACAACCCAGACCGCCAGCUAAGGUCCCCAAAUAUGGCUAAGUGGGAAACGAAGUGGGAAGGCUAAAACAGUCAGGAGGUUGGCUUAGAAGCAGCCACCCUUUAAAGAAAGCGUAAUAGCUCACUGAUCGAGUCGUCCUGCGCGGAAGAUGUAACGGGGCUAAGCCAUAUACCGAAGCUGCGGAUGCGAGCUAGUCUCGCAUGGUAGGAGAGCGUUCCGUAAGCCUGCGAAGGUGCAUUGUAAAGUGUGCUGGAGGUAUCGGAAGUGCGAAUGCUGACAUGAGUAGCGAUAAAGGGGGUGAAAGGCCCCCUCGCCGUAAGCCCAAGGUUUCCUACGCAACGUUCAUCGGCGUAGGGUGAGUCGGCCCCUAAGGCGAGGCAGAAAUGCGUAGCUGAUGGGAAGCAGGUCAAUAUUCCUGCACCAUUGUUAAAUGCGAUGGGGGGACGGAUCGCGGAAGGUUGUCCGGGUGUUGGAAGUCCCGGUCGCUGCAUUGGAGAAGGCGCUUAGGCAAAUCCGGGCGCGGAAUUCAAGGGUGUGGCGCGAGCUUCUUCGGAAGCGAAGCAAUCGGAAGUGGUUCCAAGAAAAGCCUCUAAGCUUCAGUUUAACAGUGACCGUACCGCAAACCGACACAGGUGGGCGAGAUGAGUAUUCUAAGGCGCUUGAGAGAACUCGGGAGAAGGAACUCGGCAAAUUGGUACCGUAACUUCGGGAUAAGGUACGCCCCUGUAGCUUGACUGGCCUGCGCCAGAAGGGUGAAGGGGUUGCAAUAAACUGGUGGCUGCGACUGUUUAAUAAAAACACAGCACUCUGCAAACACGAAAGUGGACGUAUAGGGUGUGACGCCUGCCCGGUGCCGGAAGAUUAAAUGAUGGGGUGCAAGCUCUUGAUUGAAGUCCCGGUAAACGGCGGCCGUAACUAUAACGGUCCUAAGGUAGCGAAAUUCCUUGUCGGGUAAGUUCCGACCUGCACGAAUGGCGUAACGAUGGCCACACUGUCUCCUCCCGAGACUCAGCGAAGUUGAAGUGUUUGUGAUGAUGCAAUCUCCCCGCGGCUAGACGGAAAGACCCCAUGAACCUUUACUGUAGCUUUGCAUUGGACUUUGAACCGAUCUGUGUAGGAUAGGUGGGAGGCUAUGAAACCGGAACGCUAGUUUCGGUGGAGCCGUCCUUGAAAUACCACCCUGGUUUGUUUGAGGUUCUAACCUUGGCCCGUGAUCCGGGUCGGGGACAGUGCAUGGUAGGCAGUUUGACUGGGGCGGUCUCCUCCCAAAGUGUAACGGAGGAGUACGAAGGUACGCUAGGUACGGUCGGAAAUCGUGCUGAUAGUGCAAUGGCAUAAGCGUGCUUAACUGCGAGACCGACAAGUCGAGCAGGUGCGAAAGCAGGUCAUAGUGAUCCGGUGGUUCUGUAUGGAAGGGCCAUCGCUCAACGGAUAAAAGGUACUCUGGGGAUAACAGGCUGAUACCGCCCAAGAGUUCAUAUCGACGGCGGUGUUUGGCACCUCGAUGUCGGCUCAUCUCAUCCUGGGGCUGUAGCCGGUCCCAAGGGUAUGGCUGUUCGCCAUUUAAAGAGGUACGUGAGCUGGGUUUAAAACGUCGUGAGACAGUUUGGUCCCUAUCUGCCGUGGGCGUUGGAUAUUUGAAGGGGGCUGCUCCUAGUACGAGAGGACCGGAGUGGACGAACCUCUGGUGUACCGGUUGUCACGCCAGUGGCAUCGCCGGGUAGCUAUGUUCGGAAGAGAUAACCGCUGAAAGCAUCUAAGCGGGAAACUCGCCUUAAGAUGAGAUAUCCCCGGGGACUUGAUCCCCUUGAAGGGUCGUUCGAGACCAGGACGUUGAUAGGUCAGGUGUGUAAGCGCAGUAAUGCGUUCAGCUAACUGAUACUAAUUGCCCGUAAGGCUUGAUC
This 2866-nucleotide ribosomal RNA is filed under the name Burkholderia glumae 3252-8. RNAcentral describes it as "bacterial LSU rRNA". It matches the Rfam family "Bacterial large subunit ribosomal RNA". The record is from RNAcentral. Lineage: Bacteria; Pseudomonadati; Pseudomonadota; Betaproteobacteria; Burkholderiales; Burkholderiaceae.